RNAcentral lists this ribosomal RNA (622 nucleotides) under uncultured bacterium. Its description in RNAcentral is "bacterial SSU rRNA". The stretch from base 1 to 515 matches the Rfam family "Bacterial small subunit ribosomal RNA", at positions 338 to 873 of the family's 1533-position model. The record is from RNAcentral.
CCUACGGGAGGCAGCAGUGGGGAAUCUUGCACAAUGGAGGAAACUCUGAUGCAGCGAUGCCGCGUGAGUGAGGAAGGCCUUUGGGUUGUAAAGCUCUUUUGUAGGGGAAGAUAAUGACUGUACCCUAAGAAUAAGGUCCGGCUAACUUCGUGCCAGCAGCCGCGGUAAUACGAAGGGACCUAGCGUAGUUCGGAAUUACUGGGCGUAAAGCGCGCGUAGGCCGUUGAGUUAGUUAAUUGUGAAAUCCCAAAGCUUAACUUUGGAACUGCAAUUAAAACUGCUCGACUAGAGUUUGAUAGAGGAAAGCGGAAUACAUAGUGUAGAGGUGAAAUUCGUAGAUAUUAUGUAGAACACCAGUUGCGAAGGCGGCUUUCUGGAUCAACACUGACGCUGAGGCGCGAAAGUAUGGGUAGCAAAGAGGAUUAGAUACCCUCGUAGUCCAUACCAUAAACGAUGAUUGCUAGAUGUUGGAAAUUUAUUUUCAGUAUCGCANCUACGCAUAAUACACUACCGCCGUCGGGGUAGGUACGACCGCCGAACGGUUAAAACCGUUAACGAAACGGAAAGUUAGUAACGGUACGUGUUAGACGUGCCGAACGGACGACGACGAGGGGAGGUUAGG